RNAcentral lists this ribosomal RNA (750 nucleotides) under Mesobacillus thioparans. RNAcentral's name for it is "bacterial SSU rRNA". It matches the Rfam family "Bacterial small subunit ribosomal RNA", at positions 99 to 835 of the family's 1533-position model. The record is from RNAcentral. Lineage: Bacteria; Bacillati; Bacillota; Bacilli; Caryophanales; Bacillaceae.
CGGACGGGUGAGUAACACGUGGGCAACCUGCCUGUAAGACUGGGAUAACUUCGGGAAACCGGAGCUAAUACCGGAUAAUCCUUUCCCUCACAUGAGGGAAAGCUGAAAGACGGUUUCGGCUGUCACUUACAGAUGGGCCCGCGGCGCAUUAGCUAGUUGGUGAGGUAACGGCUCACCAAGGCAACGAUGCGUAGCCGACCUGAGAGGGUGAUCGGCCACACUGGGACUGAGACACGGCCCAGACUCCUACGGGAGGCAGCAGUAGGGAAUCUUCCGCAAUGGACGAAAGUCUGACGGAGCAACGCCGCGUGAACGAUGAAGGCUUUCGGGUCGUAAAGUUCUGUUGUCAGGGAAGAACAAGUACCGGAGUAACUGCCGGUACCUUGACGGUACCUGACCAGAAAGCCACGGCUAACUACGUGCCAGCAGCCGCGGUAAUACGUAGGUGGCAAGCGUUGUCCGGAAUUAUUGGGCGUAAAGCGCGCGCAGGCGGUUCCUUAAGUCUGAUGUGAAAGCCCCCGGCUCAACCGGGGAGGGUCAUUGGAAACUGGGGAACUUGAGUGCAGAAGAGGAGAGCGGAAUUCCACGUGUAGCGGUGAAAUGCGUAGAGAUGUGGAGGAACACCAGUGGCGAAGGCGGCUCUCUGGUCUGUAACUGACGCUGAGGCGCGAAAGCGUGGGGAGCGAACAGGAUUAGAUACCCUGGUAGUCCACGCCGUAAACGAUGAGUGCUAAGUGUUAGAGGGUUUCC